Long non-coding RNA from Poecilia latipinna (sailfin molly), 1505 nucleotides. RefSeq lists it as uncharacterized. The record is from RefSeq and is a predicted model, not a curated record. The transcript is spliced from 2 exons. NCBI's taxonomy places the organism in Eukaryota, Metazoa, Chordata, Actinopteri, Cyprinodontiformes, Poeciliidae.
AGCUCAUUCUGCUCUGACUCACUAAGAAUCAGCUGCUUCUCCACCUCUGACCCCGGCCUGCAGACAGGAAGUGAUGCGUUCAGAGGAGGAAGAGGCGCCGCUCCGUCUUCGGGGAGCGACCCACUCCAGCCUGCUGGGUUCUGGUGAUCGGAUCGGUUCUGAUCCGUGAAUGCAGAUCUGUUCUCCUGUUCUCUGUGCGUCUAUUUCUGGAAGCAGCUUCAUUUCCAGGAACCGGACUCUGUUGCUAGGCAACGAGCCGAAGAUGAAAUGGACACCAGAACUUCCCUCCCGGUUCUGCUGAGUGUGGUGCUGCCGAUCUGUCGGGUCCGCCGGGAAUGCUGGGAGAUGUCUGCCCGUUGCUAGGUUACCUCCCUGUGCCGUGCAAUCAGCCGGCAGGAUGAGGGCGACGCUGCCAGCGCCGGACCACCCUGAAGGGGUCACAGCGGCAGCGGGCCAGCCCCGCCCGCCUGCCACGCCCCGCGGAUUAAAUCAAACACCCCAUCAGUCCGAUUCUCUGGCCAACAUGCAGGAAACUCCUGAUGGUCAGUGAAUGCACCGUUGAUGUUUGUUCUUCCUUCCUUCAUGUUUCAUAAAAACCAGAUGAAGUUUCAGAUUUCAGCUCCUGGUUCGUCACGUUAACUCAGUGACUGACUGAGGUUAGAUCAGUUUACCGCCUGUUUGUCUCGUCUCUUUGUCUCGUCUCUUUGUCUCCACACCAGCCGCCGUAAAUCACCGCCGUAGCAUCGCUGAGGCGGUCGUUAGUGCCGGUCACUGACUUCCUAACGUCACAGCCUGCUGGUGAUGCGUUCAGGAACACAUUUCUCAGCUUAUAAAACCUCAAACUCGCCGAUCAGACACAACAUUUUGUUUGUGAGAUUUUAUGGCUGCAUUCAGAAGAUUGGAAGACAAAAUGGGCAAUAAGUGAGGAGAAAUAUUUACUAAACUUUAGAGACUUUCACUUUUUGACUGUUUUAAAUGUAUUUCUAAUCAUUUUCUCUGGAUUUCAUGAUUUUCUGCCGUUCUGUUGACGUUUUUAAUCUGCAGCAGAACUUGAAGGAUCUUUGCAGGAAACGUUUCCUGAAACUUCCUGCAGCAAAAAAAAAAAAAAAAAUCGAUUCACUAAGAAUCUCAUACAGUUUGGUUCAGAAUCGAUUUUAAAAAUCCCAAAAUCAGUUUAAAAACAAUCAUAAAUCAUGAAGCUGUCGGCCUCCAUUUUGUAUCAAUGUUGCCAUGGAGACGGUACUGGAAAGUAUGCAUGAGCAGAGAAAAAACUACAAGAUAAAAGAAAGAGAGUGAAGGUAAACAUCUGGACGUUUUACAGCCCAUAAGGAGUUUGGUGGGCGGAGCCACGCAGCUGGUGGGCGGAGCCACGUACUGGUGGGCGGAGCCAAUCAGAAGUUUGUUUCUGUGUUUUAUGCUGAAGUGUUGAUGUUUCUCUUUAAAUCGUUUGUUUCCAGGACCUGGUUUGUACCGACAGCAGCAGGAAUCAUCCUGGAUAGUCAUUU